This 230-nucleotide ribosomal RNA is filed under the name uncultured bacterium. RNAcentral describes it as "partial 16S ribosomal RNA". It matches the Rfam family "Bacterial small subunit ribosomal RNA", at positions 561 to 791 of the family's 1533-position model. The record is from RNAcentral.
UAAAGCGCGCGUAGGUGGUUGUUAAGUUGGAUGUGAAAUCCCCGGGCUCAACCUGGGAACUGCAUUCAAAACUGACUGACUAGAGUAUGGUAGAGGGUGGUGGAAUUUCCUGUGUAGCGGUGAAAUGCGUAGAUAUAGGAAGGAACACCAGUGGCGAAGGCGACCACCUGGACUGAUACUGACACUGAGGUGCGAAAGCGUGGGGAGCAAACAGGAUUAGAUACCCUAGU